GAUGAACGCUGGCGGCGUGCCUAAUACAUGCAAGUCGAGCGAACAGACGAGGAGCUUGCUCCUCUGACGUUAGCGGCGGACGGGUGAGUAACACGUGGAUAACCUACCUAUAAGACUGGGAUAACUUCGGGAAACCGGAGCUAAUACCGGAUAAUAUAUUGAACCGCAUGGUUCAAUAGUGAAAGACGGUUUUGCUGUCACUUAUAGAUGGAUCCGCGCCGCAUUAGCUUGUUGGUAAGGUAACGGCUUACCAAGGCAACGAUGCGUAGCCGACCUGAGAGGGUGAUCGGCCACACUGGAACUGAGACACGGUCCAGACUCCUACGGGAGGCAGCGGUAGGGAAUCUUCCGCAAUGGGCCAAAGCGUGACGGAGCAACGCCGCGUGAGUGAUGAAGGUCUUCGGAUCGUAAAACUCUGUUAUUAGGGAAGAACAAAUGUGUAAGUAACUAUGCACGUCUUGACGGUACCUAAUCAGAAAGCCACGGCUAACUACGUG
RNAcentral lists this ribosomal RNA (497 nucleotides) under uncultured bacterium. RNAcentral's name for it is "partial 16S ribosomal RNA". It matches the Rfam family "Bacterial small subunit ribosomal RNA", at positions 28 to 507 of the family's 1533-position model. The record is from RNAcentral.